Molecule: ribosomal RNA, 164 nt
Filed under: Senecio massaicus
Lineage: Eukaryota; Viridiplantae; Streptophyta; Magnoliopsida; Asterales; Asteraceae
Also listed under: 1 other name
Description: 5.8S ribosomal RNA
Rfam family: 5.8S ribosomal RNA
About the family: 5.8S ribosomal RNA (5.8S rRNA) is a component of the large subunit of the eukaryotic ribosome. It is transcribed by RNA polymerase I as part of the 45S precursor that also contains 18S and 28S rRNA.
Source: RNAcentral
UAAACGACUCUCGGCAACGGAUAUCUCGGCUCACGCAUCGAUGAAGAACGUAGCAAAAUGCGAUACUUGGUGUGAAUUGCAGAAUCCCGUGAACCAUCGAGUUUUUGAACGCAGGUUGCGCCCGAAGCCUUUUGGCCGAGGGCACGUCUGCCUGGGCGUCACAC